CUCCCAGCAGACUCUACUAAUCAACUGGAGAAGAACCCUUCUCAUCCUUCCUGAUGUAGCUGUACCCUGUUUUACAGAUGAGACAGCUAGGGUUCCCAGAAGAGGAGAGACCAGUUAAGUCAGAGAGGCAGACAAUGAGUCCUCCCCAGUGUUUUAGGGACCAGCUGCUGAAGCCCCCGCUGCCCCUCCCCAUUCCCGCCAAGCUUGGGAAACACCUGCUGGGGAAAUCAAACCACAGACCCAUCUGCUCUUCGCUGCCACCACUGCCACUGGGCCCCACAGAGGCCCGGAGCUACGCCAAGCUGC
Molecule: long non-coding RNA, 306 nt
Filed under: Fukomys damarensis (Damara mole-rat)
Lineage: Eukaryota; Metazoa; Chordata; Mammalia; Rodentia; Bathyergidae
Description: lncRNA (ENSFDAG00000029301.1)
Source: RNAcentral